UGUCAUGUGGCGCAUUGGUUAACGCGUUGGACUUUGGAUCUGGAGGUUGGUGGUUCGAGUCCAUGGCAA
Molecule: transfer RNA, 69 nt
Filed under: Diaphorina citri (Asian citrus psyllid)
Lineage: Eukaryota; Metazoa; Arthropoda; Insecta; Hemiptera; Psyllidae
Rfam family: tRNA
About the family: Transfer RNA (tRNA) molecules are approximately 80 nucleotides in length. Their secondary structure includes four short double-helical elements and three loops (D, anti-codon, and T loops).
Source: Rfam by way of RNAcentral